Long non-coding RNA from Populus euphratica (Euphrates poplar), 108 nucleotides. RefSeq lists it as uncharacterized. The transcript has 3 exons. The record is from RefSeq and is a predicted model, not a curated record. NCBI's taxonomy places the organism in Eukaryota, Viridiplantae, Streptophyta, Magnoliopsida, Malpighiales, Salicaceae.
AAUGAGAAAAAUAUAUAUUAAGUGUUUUUGUAUCUUAAAAGUUCAUGAAAAAACAGAUCUAAACUUGGGUUGAUUUUUUAUUUCGAGUUUUUUUGGUUUUUAAGGUGG